UGUCUUCUUAGCAGGUUCAAAGAGGAUUAAAUGAGAUGACAUACAUAAAAUGGGUAGUGCAAUGCUUGGUUCACUGGAUAUAAAAGCUCAAGUGGAUUAACUACUUCUGAGUAUUAGAGACUGAGUUGAUUCCUCCCAAAGAAAUCUUAUCACAGAUGGUUGGGAGCCACGCUGAUUAGAAUGCUAACUGUUGCAGCACUAGGACACGUUUAGAGG
Sapajus apella (tufted capuchin) is the source of this 216-nucleotide long non-coding RNA. RefSeq lists it as uncharacterized. The record is from RefSeq and is a predicted model, not a curated record. The transcript is spliced from 2 exons. NCBI's taxonomy places the organism in Eukaryota, Metazoa, Chordata, Mammalia, Primates, Cebidae.